Molecule: ribosomal RNA, 397 nt
Filed under: uncultured bacterium
Lineage: Bacteria
Description: partial 16S ribosomal RNA
Rfam family: Bacterial small subunit ribosomal RNA
Source: RNAcentral
AUCCGAAGGGGGCGAGCGUUGUCCGGAAUGAUUGGGCGUAAAGGGCGCGUAGGCGGCCCGGUAAGUCUGGAGUGACAGUCCUGUUUUUAAGAUGGGAAUUGCUUUGGAUACUGUCGGGCUUGAGUGCAGGAGAGGGAAGUGGAAUUCCCAGUGUAGCGGUGAAACGCGUAGAGAUUGGGAGGAACACCAGUGGCGAAGGCGACUUACUGGACUGUAACUGACGCUGAGGCGCGAAAGUGUGGGGAGCAAACAGGAUUAGAUACCCUGGUAGUCCACACUGUAAACGAUGAAUGCUAGGUGUAGGGGGUAUCGACCCCUUCUGUGCCGCAGUCAACACAAUAAGCAUUCCGCCUGGGGAGUACGGCCGCAAGGUUGAAACUCAAAUGAAUUGACGGGG